UUUCCUUUGGAAGUCAAGCCUCAUCAGACACCAGAGAACCCACACAAGAGAGAAGCCCUUGGUGUACAAGGACAAUGAGCAAAGCUGCAGCCGCCAACCGAACCUUACUGAGCCUGAGAAAAUCUGUAUUGGAGAGGAACCCGUUAAAUGUAGUCAAUGUGGAACAGCUUUUGGCCACAAGCACCUCAGACAACAGCAAAGCAUUCACAGCAGAGAGCCGAUGUGAACGAGGGCAGAAAAUCCUUCUCUCCAGGACUGUCGCUUAACCACAUUGAGCCCCCGGGGCAGCCAUAUGGGCGGGAGCCCCUACAGCCCUGUGGCAGGUGGGAAAGCCCUCCCGCAGUUCUCAGGCCCUGGCCUGCACUUAAGAACACACACAGCCAAGGAGCCUGAGCACGGGAGGGAAUGUGGGAAAGCUUUCAGCCCCAAGCCUCCCCACACUGGACAGCAGAAAAGUCACUCUCAAUAAAAGGCCUGUGGGUAUCCUGCAAACGCCAGAGGUUUUGUCAGGAAUUUAUGAAUGAGGCAAACUUGAAUGAAGGCUGAAAACAGACGGGCCACCAGAGAACUCCCACUGAGGAGAAGGACGUCCGUGUGACGAACAGCCUGUGCCUGAUGACAACAGCACAUACCCACGCCUACGGCAAGGUGACGCGGCAACCUCAGACCACGUCCCAGGAACACCGGGAGCAGGAAGCAGACGCCUGUUAUCACUGCUGUUGGCACAGAUCUGCAGAUCUCCUACAGUGCAGUAAACAACAGUAAGCUGUAAGGACUGGAGAGCAUGGGACAAAAACUGAGGAUACGACCAUCGACAAGCAAAAUAAAACACUAGUGAUGUUGAUCAGCAGAGCAGAAUGGAUUCCGCGGAGAACUGUGCAACUAUUAGAAUCUGGAAAAGGGAAAAAAUACAGACCAUGGACUUCACACAAAAGUAAACUCCACGGGGACUGAAAACAGGAAUAUUGAAAAGUUUUGUUUUAGAUGCCAGCAUUGUGGCACAGCAGGUAAAGCCACCACCUGUGAUGCCAGAAUCCCAUAUGGGCACUGCUUGAGUUCCAGAUGCUCCACUUCCAAUCCAGCUCCCUGCUAAUGUGCCUGGGAAAACAGAAGAUGGUCCAAGUACUUGAGACCCUGCACCUACGUGGGAAACCCGAUGAGGCUCCUUGCUCCUGGCUUCAGCCAGGCCCAGCCCUGGCCAUCUGGAGAGUGAAAGAGCAGAUGGGAGAUUCUCAUUUCUCCACACACUCCCCACCCCAGUUGUCUCUCUGUAACUCUGACUUUCAAAUAAAUAAAACAAACCUUUAAAAAUG
This is a non-coding RNA of Oryctolagus cuniculus (rabbit), 1313 nucleotides long. NCBI's taxonomy places the organism in Eukaryota, Metazoa, Chordata, Mammalia, Lagomorpha, Leporidae. The record is from RefSeq and is a predicted model, not a curated record.